RNAcentral lists this ribosomal RNA (866 nucleotides) under uncultured Weissella sp. RNAcentral describes it as "bacterial SSU rRNA". It matches the Rfam family "Bacterial small subunit ribosomal RNA", at positions 28 to 847 of the family's 1533-position model. Lineage: Bacteria; Bacillati; Bacillota; Bacilli; Lactobacillales; Lactobacillaceae. The record is from RNAcentral.
GAUGAACGCUGGCGGCGUGCCUAAUACAUGCAAGUCGAACGCAUUGUGGUUGAAAUGAUAUGAAGAACUUGUUCAGAUUUGAUUUUCAACAUUGCAAUGAGUGGCGAACGGGUGAGUAACACGUGGGAAACCUACCUCUUAGCAGGGGAUAACAUUUGGAAACAAAUGCUAAUACCGUAUAAUAAUUAAAACCGCAUGGUUUUAGUUUAAAAGAUGGUCUUGCUAUCACUAAGAGAUGGUCCCGCGGUGUAUUAGUUAGUUGGUGAGGUAAUGGCUCACCAAGACAAUGAUACAUAGCCGAGUUGAGAGACUGACCGGCCACAAUGGGACUGAGACACGGCCCAUACUCCUACGGGAGGCAGCAGUAGGGAAUCUUCCACAAUGGACGAAAGUCUGAUGGAGCAACGCCGCGUGUGUGAUGAAGGGUUUCGGCUCGUAAAACACUGUUGUAAGAGAAGAAUGACAUUGAGAGUAACUGUUCAAUGUGUGACGGUAUCUUACCAGAAAGGAACGGCUAAAUACGUGCCAGCAGCCGCGGUAAUACGUAUGUUCCAAGCGUUAUCCGGAUUUAUUGGGCGUAAAGCGAGCGCAGACGGUUAUUUAAGUCUGAAGUGAAAGCCCUCGGCUCAACCGAGGAAUUGCUUUGGAAACUGGAUAACUUGAGUGCAGUAGAGGAAAGUGGAACUCCAUGUGUAGCGGUGAAAUGCGUAGAUAUAUGGAAGAACACCAGUGGCGAAGGCGGCUUUCUGGACUGUAACUGACGUUGAGGCUCGAAAGUGUGGGUAGCAAACAGGAUUAGAUACCCUGGUAGUCCACACUGUAAACGAUGAGUGCUAGUUGUUCGAGGGUUUCCGCCCUUGAGUGAC